RNAcentral lists this ribosomal RNA (253 nucleotides) under uncultured bacterium. Its description in RNAcentral is "partial 16S ribosomal RNA". It matches the Rfam family "Bacterial small subunit ribosomal RNA", at positions 524 to 776 of the family's 1533-position model. The record is from RNAcentral.
UACGUAGGGUGCGAGCGUUGUCCGGAAUUAUUGGGCGUAAAGAGCUUGUAGGCGGUCUGUCGCGUCUGCUGUGAAAAUCCGGGGCUCAACCCCGGACUUGCAGUGGGUACGGGCAGACUAGAGUGUGGUAGGGGAGACUGGAAUUCCCGGUGUAGUGGUGGAAUGCGCAGAUAUCAGGAAGAACACCCGUGGCUAAGGCGGCUCUCUAGUACGGUACUGACGCUGAGACGCGAAAGCGUGGGGAGCGAACAGG